Molecule: long non-coding RNA, 504 nt
Organism: Cyprinus carpio carpio
Lineage: Eukaryota; Metazoa; Chordata; Actinopteri; Cypriniformes; Cyprinidae
Source: Ensembl
UAUAUUUAUUAUUAUUAGGGGUUCAAGCACGCAGUGCUGAAACCCUAUUGUAAUUGUUAGGAUUUUUAUUAUUAUUAUUAUUAUUAUUAUUAUUAUUAUUCUUCCGCCUUAAAACUGAACGGGCAGCCCAAACCGUAAGGCCUAGAGAGCUGAAACUUGGUCAAAAGGUAGUAGUCUUGCUCGCUACUCAGGCGCAAAGAACCGGCCCAAUCGGCCUAACGGGGGCGCUACAGCGCAAAAUACAAAAAUUUCAGACAUUUUUGGCCCGCAGUCGUAAACCGUUUGACGUAGACUCAAAAACUUUACAUCAUUGUAAUCCUUGGGUCAGUCCGAACAAAAGUGGAGUCCGAAAUUUUUGCUCUACGACGCACGGUUUUUCCGCAAAAUUGACCUAUAGCCCAAACCUACUUUUGCGAACUAGUCCUAGGUUUUUCACCCGAUCAGAACCAAACCACUGCAGAAAUAUUCUCUGGACACUCAUUAUCAAUAAUUAUCAAAAAAAAG